Cricetulus griseus (Chinese hamster) is the source of this 86-nucleotide microRNA precursor. The record is from Ensembl. Lineage: Eukaryota; Metazoa; Chordata; Mammalia; Rodentia; Cricetidae.
UCCCAGACAGCCACACUCAAAAUGGAGGCGCUCUCCAGGCCUUGGGAAGGGGAAAGUGCUUCCAUUUUGUGUGUUGCUGUGUGGAG